GUGCACAUUUCAUUGUAUUUUUUCUUUAUCUCAAGAGAAAAGAUAUUUCUAUGAACUAAAUAAACCUUUGGAGGUAAAAUCGCAGCAUGGUUAAUUUAGUCAUUGCUGUCAGUCACCUUCAGACAAGC
This is a small nucleolar RNA of Suricata suricatta (meerkat), 128 nucleotides long. Lineage: Eukaryota; Metazoa; Chordata; Mammalia; Carnivora; Herpestidae. The record is from Ensembl.